GGAGAAGUAUCGAAGUGGUCAUAACGAGCCUGACUCGAAAUCAGGUUGUCCGCAAGGGCACGUGGGUUCGAAUCCCACCUUCUCCGCCA
This 89-nucleotide transfer RNA is filed under the name Christensenellaceae bacterium. RNAcentral describes it as "tRNA-Ser". It matches the Rfam family "tRNA". From Rfam's summary of the family: Transfer RNA (tRNA) molecules are approximately 80 nucleotides in length. Their secondary structure includes four short double-helical elements and three loops (D, anti-codon, and T loops). Further hydrogen bonds mediate the characteristic L-shaped molecular structure. tRNAs have two regions of fundamental functional importance: the anti-codon, which is responsible for specific mRNA codon recognition, and the 3' end, to which the tRNAs corresponding amino acid is attached (by aminoacyl-tRNA synthetases). tRNAs cope with the degeneracy of the genetic code in two manners: having more than one tRNA (with a specific anti-codon) for a particular amino acid; and 'wobble' base-pairing, i.e. permitting non-standard base-pairing at the 3rd anti-codon position. Lineage: Bacteria; Bacillati; Bacillota; Clostridia; Christensenellales; Christensenellaceae. The record is from RNAcentral.